ACCCGGGUGGUGGAACUGGUAGACACGCAGGACUUAAAAUCCUGUGGGCAGCAAUGCUCGUGUGGGUUCAACUCCCAUCCCGGGUA
RNAcentral lists this transfer RNA (86 nucleotides) under Pinibacter aurantiacus. It matches the Rfam family "tRNA". From Rfam's summary of the family: Transfer RNA (tRNA) molecules are approximately 80 nucleotides in length. Their secondary structure includes four short double-helical elements and three loops (D, anti-codon, and T loops). Lineage: Bacteria; Pseudomonadati; Bacteroidota; Chitinophagia; Chitinophagales; Chitinophagaceae. The record is from Rfam by way of RNAcentral. RNAcentral also lists the same sequence under 2 other names.